GAGCCCAGCGCCGGGCCAAUGUCCUAUCUCAGGGUUUCCCACGUCGCUCGCUCCUUGACGGCUGACCGACACUGGGUCUGAGGUGUAAGCGCUUUCCAGGCCCUUCCCUGGGGCUUGGAGGGGAAUGGCGCAAAGGACUUUUCUUACAAGCAGAGCCACUGCAGUUACCAAAGAGUAUGUCGCUUAUUGUCUAAGAGGUUGGACUCCUGAAAGCCUGGACAGUGUCAUCAUCUUCACCUGAAGAGUGGAAAAAUUCAAGCAAAGAGUUUCUCAGGAAAUGACCAAGUAAAACAUCUGGAGUAAGUCAGCAGGAUUCACAGUGACUCCCCCCAACCAGCUGGUGGUGUUUCUCUCUGAAAGCAGCGCUUGGUACCAGUGUGAACUCUCUUCCUUCAGAAGUCUCAUCAGGUGGACGUAAUACGAGGGUCUGGUCCCCCAUACCUUGAGGACUCCGCUGCCAUCUGACAAUUACAGACAAUCCAAUUGUCCUCAUCCUUGAGGACUCUGCUGCCAUCUGACAAUUAGAGACAGUCCAAAACAUGCCACACUUUGAUCCUAAACACAUUCCUGGCUUUGGUCACUUUUGAAAAGUUCCUGAGUUAUGAGAAAUCAAUAAUAAGAGUGUUCAAAACCUGAACACUCUUUUUAGAAAUACCUGCUGGAACUACAUAUAUGAUUUAUGGGGUACUGUCUUGUAGUAUCUGGGAAAGUAGACCCAUCUAACCUGGAAUGAUCAUAGGCAACAAUGACCAAAAAUGGGGAUCUUUUGAUAUACCUAAAGUAAUUUAUUUGUGCACACCAUUGGAAAGAGCUGGUUUUAGAACCAGACAUGUAAAUAAGAGACUGACUUCCACUGGCACCUAAAAACUUCUAAAAGAAAUCCUGAAAGAAAAAGUCACCUUCAUUCAAGAGGAUAUAAUUGGAGACACUUGUUAUUUUACUAAGGAUUUGACUGGAAUGACAUAUUUUCAGAUAUGACCAGACUGCUUUGAAGAAUGGAGGUUGACUCUAUAGAGGCAAUUAGAAAGCCUCUUGGAAAGACUGGCCUGGUCCCUUGUCUACGUAGUUCCCUUUCAAGAUUUCUGUCCUGUGUUAAGUAAAGAAUGUCACUUUCUGACAGGCCUGGGAACCUCAAAAUAUUUCCGCUGUGUAUCUCUCAUUGUUUUAUUUCUUCUGAGAAAACUAAAUUCAUGGUACACUGAAGAGGUGAUUCCACAAGUGAUGGCAGCUAUAAAUCAAUGACUGGUAGGACUACCUGGGCAUGAGCCUUUCUGGCAAUGAGGGAUACCUUGACACUCAGAUUUUGAUCAUCAGUGCUUUCAAAAGGAAAGAUUUUUGAUCAAAAGGAAGAAAUGAGAAAAAGAACUUUUAUCUGAAGAAUGCAAGUCCUUUCCAAUUAUCAGAUCCAGAGAGGUAUUAAAAUGAGACGGCAAUCCUGUCCUACACACACCCCCUUUUGAGGCAUGUACUCAUCUUUUUAUACUGCUUACUAUUGCCACAAGUAGCUGAAAAUUAGCCUACUGGUGCUGCACCAGACAUUAUAACCCAUAUCCUAUAGCUUAAUAAUGGAUAGCCAAUCAACAGCUUAUGUUAUGUUAAUGUAAAUUAUUGGUAAAUAACUCAGGAACUGCCUCUUCUUUCCUUUUAAAAACCCACUUGUGGGCCGGGCGUGGUGGCUCACGCCUGUAAUCCCAGCAUUUUGGGAGGCCAAGGUGGGCGGAUCACAAGGUGAGGAGAUCAAGACCAUCCUGGAUAACACAGUGAAACCCUGUCUCUACUAAAAAUACAAAAAAUUAGCCGGGCGUGGUGGCGGGC
This is a long non-coding RNA of Homo sapiens (human), 1815 nucleotides long. Ensembl annotates it as MKLN1 antisense RNA. Its record names the gene MKLN1-AS. NCBI's taxonomy places the organism in Eukaryota, Metazoa, Chordata, Mammalia, Primates, Hominidae. The record is from Ensembl.